UACAGAGGGUGCGAGCGUUAAUCGGAUUUACUGGGCGUAAAGCGUGCGUAGGCGGUUCGUUAAGUCUGCUGUGAAAGCCCCGGGCUCAACCUGGGAAUGGCAGUGGAUACUGGCGAGCUAGAGUGUGAUAGAGGAUGGUGGAAUUCCCGGUGUAGCGGUGAAAUGCGUAGAGAUCGGGAGGAACAUCAGUGGCGAAGGCGGCCAUCUGGAUCAACACUGACGCUGAGGCACGAAAGCGUGGGGAGCAAACAGG
RNAcentral lists this ribosomal RNA (253 nucleotides) under uncultured bacterium. Its description in RNAcentral is "partial 16S ribosomal RNA". It matches the Rfam family "Bacterial small subunit ribosomal RNA", at positions 524 to 776 of the family's 1533-position model. The record is from RNAcentral.